GAUCAAUAUGAAUUCACUUUGUGUGACUUGAACUAUUGAUUGGAUCGGGCAGAUGGAUGACUUUUUCAUAUCUGCCACAUUUUAAUUUGCAAUAAAAUGUGUCUCUUUGUUUCAACCACCGCGCAAGCCCCCCUACA
This is a non-coding RNA of Arachis ipaensis, 137 nucleotides long. The record is from RefSeq and is a predicted model, not a curated record. Lineage: Eukaryota; Viridiplantae; Streptophyta; Magnoliopsida; Fabales; Fabaceae.